CUAAGCAGAUUUCCAGAUAGCUGCUAAGCUGUAUGGAAUUUGUGAAGAGAAAUCCAGAUACUGGGCAUGUACAGCACCUCUGCUUGUUGAAACAAGUCUCAAAUCCUUAGUAAUUAGCUCAGCAUCGAGCAUGUAGCCAGUUCUCAGGGUACAGAGCACUCUGGAGGAGCAGACCCUCAUGCCUUGUUCAGCUGGAACUUUAGCGGAAUGGUCAGCUCUCAGUCUUUGGCCAUUCCCUGUCUCUGCUCCAGAAAGCCAAGGGUUCAGAUGAAGAUUGGAAGGAGAAAAACAGAAGACUUUGAUCUUGAUCACAGCGACAGAUUCAGAGAUAUCUGAGUUUACUCUUCAGCAUUAAACCUUGGGCUCUUAGACCAGGAAAGUUGUGUGGUGUUGGCAGGGAGAAGAAAGGAGUUGACUGCAGCCCCUGGCUCCCAUGGUUGACUUUAACCUCCUGAAUGGACAACAUGGCAGGGCACAGGCAAUCCAACAAGUUUCUGAAGACUGGCAAGAACUAUUUCCUGACACUGCAGAUUCAUGAGCCAAUUAGGUAAGGUGUGUUGUCGGACCUGCUACUCAUUAGCUAACGGGAGGAGAUAGCGAAGAUAGAUUUAUACUGCUCACACAGAUGCACAUAGAAUAAUAGGCAGAAGACAGAAAUUGCAACAAAUGAAGUUCUGAUGGAUAUCAGGAAAAAUUUUCCUCAGAAAGGUGGCAAAAUAUUGGCACAGG
This 729-nucleotide long non-coding RNA is filed under the name Cyanistes caeruleus (blue tit). RNAcentral's name for it is "lncRNA (ENSCCEG00000010233.1)". Lineage: Eukaryota; Metazoa; Chordata; Aves; Passeriformes; Paridae. The record is from RNAcentral.